GAUAAACGCUGGCGGCGUGCCUAAUACAUGCAAGUCGAGCGAACAGACGAGGAGCUUGCUCCUCUGAUGUUAGCGGCGGACGGGUGAGUAACACGUGGAUAACCUACCUAUAAGACUGGGAUAACUUCGGGAAACCGGAGCCAAUACCGGAUAACAUGUUGAACCGCAUGGUUCAACAGUGAAAGACGGUCUUGCUGUCACUUAUAGAUGGAUCCGCGCCGCAUUAGCUAGUUGGUAAGGUAACGGCUUACCAAGGCAACGAUGCGUAGCCGACCUGAGAGGGUGAUCGGCCACACUGGAACUGAGACACGGUCCAGACUCCUACGGGAGGCAGCAGUAGGGAAUCUUCCGCAAUGGGCGAAAGCCUGACGGAGCAACGCCGCGUGAGUGAAGAAGGUCUUCGGAUCGUAAAACUCUGUUAUUAGGGAAGAACAAAUGUGUAAGUAACUAUGCACGUCUUGACGGUACCUAAUCAGAAAGCCACGGCUAACUACGUG
RNAcentral lists this ribosomal RNA (497 nucleotides) under uncultured bacterium. RNAcentral describes it as "partial 16S ribosomal RNA". It matches the Rfam family "Bacterial small subunit ribosomal RNA", at positions 28 to 507 of the family's 1533-position model. The record is from RNAcentral.